RNAcentral lists this ribosomal RNA (422 nucleotides) under uncultured bacterium. RNAcentral's name for it is "bacterial SSU rRNA". It matches the Rfam family "Bacterial small subunit ribosomal RNA", at positions 355 to 774 of the family's 1533-position model. The record is from RNAcentral.
UAAGGAAUAUUGGACAAUGGAGGCAACUCUGAUCCAGCCAUGCCGCGUGAAGGAAUAAGGCCCUAUGGGUUGUAAACUUCUUUUAGACGGGACAAAACCCCUUUACGUGGAAAGGGUUGAUGGUACUGUCAGAAUAAGCAUCGGCUAACUUCGUGCCAGCAGCCGCGGUAAUACGAAGGAUGCAAGCGUUAUCCGGAAUUAUUGGGUUUAAGGGGUGCGUAGGCGGACUAAUAAGUCAGUGGUGAAAGCCUGCAGCUUAACUGCAGAAUUGCCUUUGAUACUGGUAGUCUUGAGUACGGUUGAGGUAGGCGGAAUGUGUCAUGUAGCGGUGAAAUGCUUAGAUAUGACACAGAACACCGAUUGCGAAGGCAGCUUGCUAAGCUGUAACUGACGCUGAGGCGCGAAAGCGCGGGGAGCAAACA